This 702-nucleotide ribosomal RNA is filed under the name Toxarium undulatum. RNAcentral's name for it is "eukaryotic LSU rRNA". It matches the Rfam family "Eukaryotic large subunit ribosomal RNA", at positions 100 to 883 of the family's 3401-position model. The record is from RNAcentral. Lineage: Eukaryota; Bacillariophyta; Thalassiosirophyceae; Ardissoneales; Ardissoneaceae.
GGGAAAAGCUCACAGUGUGAAUCUGCAUGCCUCCCUUGGGAGCGUGCCGAAUUGUGGUCUGUAGAGAGUCUUUUGACAGCAGAAUCAAGACUAAGUCCCUUGGAACAGGGCAGCAUAGAGGGUGAGACUCCCGUUCAUGCUUGGUUUGCGUUGUCUUGAAAGGACUUCUCGAAGAGUCGAGUUGCUUGGGAUUGCAGCUCUAAGUGGGUGGUAAAUUCCAUCUAAGGCUAAAUAUCCGUGGGAGACCGAUAGCACACAAGUACCGUGAGGGAAAGAUGCAAAGAACUUUGAAAAGAGAGUUAAAGAGUACCUGAAAUUGCUGAAAGGUAAGCGAAGGCAACCAGUAUCAGAGCGGCGUCAUACUUUCUGCAGAGCUUGCUUGCAGGCGCUGUGGCGUCGGAUGAGCCAAGAAUGCCCGUCAGAGCAGAGUUGAGGUUCCAGUGCUGCUAUGGGUGGUUGUUGGUGAAAUGGUUCCCUUUGUCCCGUCUUGAAACACGGACCAAGGAGUCUAACAUGUGUGCGAGUACAUGGGUGCAAAACCCUGGUGCGGAAUGAAGGUGACAGUGGUCUACACGGCCUGCCGGCCAAGAUCCCUCGGGAGAAAGGUCUGAGUGUGAGCACUAUAUGUUAGGACCCGAAAGAUGGUGAACUAUGCCUGAAUAGGGUGAAGCCAGGGGAAACUCUGGUGGAGGCUCGUAGCGA